GCUGGAUGGUCUGAUUCUGCCAUGCCCUCUGCCACCUACCAGAGUACUUCUUAGUGCUCCAUCAAUCACAGAGGGCCUCCCAUAUGUCUGUCUAUAUCCAGUGAUUUGUGUAAGACUUUUAGUCUGAUGGUAAGUUGGAACUGGAGUGCUCUAUGGCGGACUGUCUAAAGCUAUACAGCGUAUCCCGGAGCCUAUUGUGGCCAUCUUCUCAAAGAUCUGAUGGCUAGCCUCCUUAUCCUGAGGAGUCUUGAAUCAGUAGUACUCCUACAAGUAGAAGCAAGCAUAUAUUAAUAAAUAGAAUAUAAACCUACUGUGA
This 316-nucleotide long non-coding RNA is filed under the name Elaeis guineensis (African oil palm). Its description in RNAcentral is "long non-coding RNA (EGUI_LNC012273)". Lineage: Eukaryota; Viridiplantae; Streptophyta; Magnoliopsida; Arecales; Arecaceae. The record is from RNAcentral.